Long non-coding RNA from Aphis gossypii (cotton aphid), 1840 nucleotides. RefSeq lists it as uncharacterized. NCBI's taxonomy places the organism in Eukaryota, Metazoa, Arthropoda, Insecta, Hemiptera, Aphididae. The transcript is spliced from 3 exons. The record is from RefSeq and is a predicted model, not a curated record.
AAUUUGUACGCAAAUAAUUUUAUUAUAUUUUAAAUUUAAAUUAUUAAUCGUAUUUCAAAUCAAUUUAAAUAAUAUCCUUUUAAAUAUUUUAUAUGUACAUUAAUAUGGUUGUUAACCUACAUAUUGUGUAUGCGAAAAACAGUUAUGUUACCUACCUAUAAAGGCUACUUACUUGACUCAAACACGAUGGAUACGAUUGAAAACUUACACCGAGUAUAAAGAUUUUCAAGAAAGAAUAUUCGCAGUGUAUCGAAUUUUUAUUUGUUUAGUAUAGCAUUUAAGAAGAUACAAGUGCAGUAAAGCAGAGAAAUGUAUCAGUCUGUAUUGGAUUCAUUCUUCAUUGCAAAUUGGUUGAGAGUUAUAGCAAUGACUAUUGCACAACAUUGAAUAUGUAUUGAAACUAGUGAAUGAAAAUUUUGCUAUAUCAGAUGAGUGAAAACGGAGACAACACAUUCAGGUAAUAUGUGAGUGUGGAUAGAAAAUAUAUUGAACUAUUUAUGAUUGAUGACUUCGGAAGUUUUUUGUACCAUACUCAUAGAUAUAUGUAUAACUGCAAAGCGUGGGAAGGCGGCGAAUGCACGUGCAACUGACCAGCAGGGACCUGUUGAUGGAGCAUCUGAACAUUAUAGGGAGUCUCAGAUAGUUAGAGUCAGAGUAUAGCCAGAGUUAGAGCACCUUCACGCCACCUAGUUUAAUAAUUAUGUCUCACGGACUUAGAAUAAUUUCAUCAGUUUAUUUAAAAUAAUUAUUUGGACUUAGAAUAUUUUACAAUUAAACACUUUAAAUAUAUUCUAUCAGUAUUUAUUAUUUUAACUACUACCUCAAAUUUACUUUACUACGGUUACUCACACAUGGCAUGUUACAAAUAUUACAAUAAACAUUUGAUGUAUAAUUCAAAAUUUAAUUCAUAUAACAAUAAGAAGUAUUAUUAUUUUGAUUUUCGACAGAUUAUGUAUUUUUUCAUUUAUAUAGUAUUUUUAAGCUACAUGUUAUUGUACAUUUAUAUAUGAACACCUAUUAUUUUUUAUAACAUUUUUCCAAUAUUCUGGUCAUUACUUAGUUCACACACUGAAUUGAUGUAUGAUUACCUUGAUAGUCUUAUAACUUUUUGAGUUUGACUUUUUUUGAUUUGUUUGAACUGGCAUCAAUUAUAAAUUAUGUACUUCUAAUAUAUUAAAUUACGCAUACAUACAUACUUGUUAUUACUUAUCACUUAGUAUCAUUAAUCUAUAGUAUGAUUUCUAAACCAUUAUUUAUAUACAUAAUACAUAUUGCAAACUUUUGUCAUUUAUUUUAAUCAUUACCUACUUUGUAUAAAUAUAGUUAAGACCUUACCCUAUAAGAUAAAUUCAAUUAGAUAACAAAUAAAUAUUUAUUUAUAUUAUAAAAAAUAAAACAAUGAUGUAUAUAAUAUAGAUAAUAGAAAAUAAAAUAUUUUAUUACAAAUAAUAAUUUUCUUUUUACUAUAUUGAUUUUUUUACAAUUUAAUUAUUUUAUAAAUUAUAAUAUACAUUAUACAUAGUAUAAAAAGAUAACAUUAGUUUCUAGAUUAGAGCGUUAAAACUUGAAAGUAUUGUUUUUAAUAUUAAAUGUUUUUUUUUUUUUUGUAUGUUUGUUAUAUUUUGUAGUAAUGAAAUGUUCUAUCAUUAUCUUUGAGGAUGAUUUCUGGUAAAAAAAAGUAUCUAGUUUUAUUAGAUAAUAAUAAUAUAUUAUUCUAAUUUUAAAAUAUCUAUAAAAAUUAAAACAUAUUUUUUCUUUGUUUAUAUAAUAAUUUGUUAAUAUUUUAAUGUAAUAUUGUGUAAAAUAUUAUUUAAUUAAAUAAUAAUACGAUAAUCCUAUA